AUUAUAUGAGGCAAAACCUGCCAAAUCUAAAUGGUUAAAUCGACCAAACCUCUCCAUUGGUCGUUGGGUGAAGCCAUUAAAAAUUAUAAGUAAUGUUGGAUGCAACCAUAUUCAUUGCAUCAAUGGGAAGAAGAAGAGGUGGAUGGUUUCAAUUUUCACUUCAUAAUAAUGAUUUAUCACAAGUUUUGAAGAAAAUGCCACGCCCCCGCCUGCCUCAAAAGGUUUAAUUAUCUUAUUAAUCCUUGUAUUCUUUGGAUUUUUGAAAUGUAGAAAAAGGGUUAAUUUAAUUUCACCCUUGUGUUUGUGAUUUGGUGUUUAGGUUUGAGGAGUUUAUCUUGGG
RNAcentral lists this long non-coding RNA (340 nucleotides) under Gossypium raimondii (Peruvian cotton). Its description in RNAcentral is "long non-coding RNA (GRAI_LNC006820)". Lineage: Eukaryota; Viridiplantae; Streptophyta; Magnoliopsida; Malvales; Malvaceae. The record is from RNAcentral.